GCCGGGGUCGCUUAGUCUGGUAUGGCGCAGGCCUGGAGAGCCUGUGAUCCCUUUGGAUCGCAGGGGUUCAAAUCCCCUCCCCGGCGCCA
Molecule: transfer RNA, 89 nt
Filed under: Candidatus Bathyarchaeota archaeon
Lineage: Archaea; Thermoproteati; Candidatus Bathyarchaeota
Description: tRNA-Ser
Rfam family: tRNA
About the family: Transfer RNA (tRNA) molecules are approximately 80 nucleotides in length. Their secondary structure includes four short double-helical elements and three loops (D, anti-codon, and T loops).
Source: RNAcentral